UACGUAGGGUGCAAGCGUUAAUCGGAAUUACUGGGCGUAAAGCGUGCGCAGGCGGUUAUGUAAGACAGAUGUGAAAUGCCCGGGCUUAACCUGGGAACUGCAUUUGUGACUGCAUGGCUAGAGUUUGGCAGAGGGGGGUAGAAUUCCACGUGUAGCAGUGAAAUGCGUAGAGAUGUGGAGGAACACCGAUGGCGAAGGCAGCCCCCUGGGCUGAGAUUGACGCUCAGGCACGAAAGCGUGGGGAGCAAACAGG
This 253-nucleotide ribosomal RNA is filed under the name uncultured bacterium. Its description in RNAcentral is "partial 16S ribosomal RNA". It matches the Rfam family "Bacterial small subunit ribosomal RNA", at positions 524 to 776 of the family's 1533-position model. The record is from RNAcentral.